Zingiber officinale is the source of this 2155-nucleotide long non-coding RNA. RefSeq lists it as uncharacterized. Lineage: Eukaryota; Viridiplantae; Streptophyta; Magnoliopsida; Zingiberales; Zingiberaceae. The record is from RefSeq and is a predicted model, not a curated record. The transcript has 5 exons.
CCUCAUCUCAUGCUUAUCUUCCCGAACCGCUCUCACAACUCUAUCUUCCCGAACCCCUCUCCUUCCAACUCCUCCUCCCAUGUCCUCUCCAUCCAACUCCUCUCAAGCAAACCCCUCUCCGGCGAACUCCUCUCCGCGAACCUCCUCUCCUCUGAAUUCCUUCACCUCUUCGUCAAAUAGCAAAUGCCCUAAUCACUCCGCUCUUGGAUCGCCGCCUCCGCACUAGAUCUACUCGCCGGUGGUUUCCUCUACAGAAAUGGCAAAUGCUUGGAUUUCAAGAGCAUCAAAGUAUCGGAGUUCAGUUUGGAAGGUUAGCGACAAACGGCCAGGUUAUAAUGCCAGUGACUCAGAUUCUAAUGAGGAGAAGAUUAACAUCAAAUCAUCAGCAGAAGGACCUGGUUCAUAAGGUGAGUUAUUCUUCUGUUCUGUUUGGUAAAUUUUUAAACUCAGAUUCUAGAUGAUUGAUGCUCUAUCAAGUUAAAAGGCAAAAGAAAUAAGUAGCCAUGGAUCACUAUUAUUUUAUUUUUGCAUCUCAAAUAAUUUAUAGUGCAAUAUAUCGGAUAUUUGAAAGGUCCUGUAAAAUUGAAUGGCCAAAGUGAUUUACUGCUAAUCUUGAACUAUCUUUCACAUAUCUAGUUCUUUUGAUUCCUGUUAAUUUCAUUUUUAUUAAUUCAUUGAUCAUGACUCAUGACAAGGAACACAAAUUUGUCUUUCUGUUCUAAUCUUGGUCAAGUGAAAUUUCCUGCACGAUGUUAAAUAUACCACAAAAUUAAAUAGUCUAGUGCAAGAAAGAUAUUCUUUUAGAAUUUUAGGCCUUCAUUUUUAAGUUGUUUUGUCAUGUGCCUUAGUCUAGCUUGAGAUGACAGCAUACAAGGAUGAUUGCUCUCCUAGAGAUGCUCAAUCCUGAAGUUUAAGAAUUAAUUAGAGGUUUAUUUCUCGAAUGUGAAAUUUAUAUUGUCAAUAUUUAGUUCAAUAAUCUUUGUGAUUUUGGGUUGUAAAACUCUCUGCAAAUUGGUUUGGGUACAUGAUUUAAAAACUUGCUCCUGGAGUGGAACUAGACAGUUUGGUACUGUUUUGAUAGUAGGUGUUAAGAGGAAAAGAAGAGGGAGGAGCUUAGCUUAAGGCAUUGCCCUGAAGAAGCCUUUUGACUUUCAAGAGUUCGUUCAACAUUGACAUUUAUACGGAACUAAAGUUUUGCCCUUGCGUAGUGAAGAGGCUUCAGUCACCUGGAGUAGUCAUGAGUAGGACAGUCACAAAGCUGUGGAGUUAAGCAACAAACUGUAUAUAUAACUCAUCCUUUUUUUGUUUUUCAUACUCAUUUUUUCAAUUUCUCUGGAAUUGUAUAUCUCAGCUACCUUUAAGAAGAUUGAGAAAAUGUCUGAUCUGAUUAACUUACAGUAUUUAGUUAUUCUAUAAAUAAUUUGGAUUUUCUGCUUUUCUAGUCUGACACCAUUUGCUAUUGUUUGUAUAAUAAUUGCUAGUUAUUCUAAUUGUGAAUUUAUCAUUUUGGAUGAAGUCUCAUCUUGGUGUUGUUUCUCCAAAAUUUAAAAAGAAACAAGCUAGAUCAUCGCAGAAGUUAACUACCAAACUCCACAGUUCUUUGGAAGACCCCAACACAAAUGAUUUGGAGGAUGAUCUACCCGUAGAUAAUGCUUCAAAGCAAUUGGUGCUUCAUAAUGAGGUUUCUAGUACACAUUAGAUAUAAGUGAGAAAUAGUAAAGGUAUGUGUAAUUAUAUAUAACAUAUAUUUUAAUGUGUAUGUUUAUCAUUAUUAAUUUGUCUCUAAUUAACAUAAGCUCCUCGGCAAGAUGCCAAACAAUGUGGUUAUUAUGUGAUGUGAUUUAUGAGACAAAUUGUUGAAGAAGUUGAAAUUAUCGAGAGAGAUUCACUACGAUCUAUAGUAAUAUUUUCUUGCUUAUGUCUCAAAUUAUUUGAAAUAAACUAUUUAAAAUUUGCAAAGUCAACGUUGAUGUUUUUUCAUUAAUGUUCACAGUUUACAGAAGCGGAGUAUUCUCGAGAAGAAAUUGAUGAGGUGCGAUCGGAGUUGGCAGAAUGUAUACAAGAUCAUAUUUAUGAGUAGGUCAAACAAAAUAUGACUGACAGAACUCAUCAACUUCUAGAUGCUCGAUCAAAGGAUACACAGUGGUAGAUGUUU